UUUUUUUUUUUUUUUUUUGGGGUACAUGGAUUAGGAUAAACUAGGAUAAGUCUAAAACACGCAGGAAUACCAAGUAUAUGCAUGAUGCAUCACUUAAUCUGUUAAAUUAAUUGUUGGUCAACUUUAUCUCCGUGUCUUGUCUCAUACCAUGCUCAUAAAUUAAAAUUCUUGUAUGUUGUCACGAAUUCUUUUUUUUUUUUCGGGGCACGGAAUCUAUGGAACAAUUGAUGUGGAUAGUUUGACCAUUUGUGAACAUGAUUUGGAAAAGCCAGCCUUUCAUUAAGUUAAACAACCAUCAUCAUUUGAUUAAUGUCGUAAUUCAUUUGAUUACAAGAAUCAUACUACGUACUAAAAUCUUUGUCGAGAUCCAGCCGUACCCUAUUCACAUGAUACUACAAAAGCUACAAAAGAACAGACGAGACGAGACUAUGAAGAUUCCUGAACUCAAUUCCUUCUUUCAUUCCUGAUUGUCAGAGUUAUAAAAGACGGACCAAAAGACAAAUUGCACGGACUCCGUUUCCCUAAUCUUUUACUUCAAUCGCCAAUAAUCAAAACUAAAUCAUCCUGCUAUUGACAAAAGAAACAAGAAGUAAAAAAAAAGGGUGGAUAAAACUGCAUAUAUGAUCGGUUGUCACCUGAAGUGCCAUGUGGCCCGUUGAAGAGGAAUCCGUGUCCAAGUUGCCAAAAAUGUGUCCUUUUUUUCCCCCAUUUUUUGGUAGGUAGAAUAAUAAUAGUUUUGAGGGUUCGAUUCCGAUCAUCAUCAUCAUCAUCGCAGGUUAAGGUCAAGGCAUGCUUUUAGAACCAUAGAUUCUCGCUAGCUGAGCCUGGCGACAAAAAGGUGUCCUUAGCUUUCGUUUCCAGCUGGUGACAAUUCGAGACGGCUGAUCAUCCGGGCACGGCUGCUGAAUUUUGUAUUUGUCGUCCCUUCAACUUUUGGGAUUCGGAUUCUUCAAUAGUGUGUUGCCUCUGAUCUAACUUUAUUUCUGUUUCGUUUUCGUGCUAUGGCAGAAAUGUUGCACAAUUCCAGUCAGCAUACUCUAUCACUUUCUAAUAUCUGCAUCAAAUGGUAAUUACAUUGGCAUUAAUCAAUAGUUUACGAAUAACUAAUCACUUCUUGGAUGGGUUAUCAAAGUCAAUCUGGUUAUGCAUGCUACAAUACGCAUUUUACCUUAUAUUGUACAUUAAAUUCUUCUCUAAUGACUAAUAUAUUGUUGAAUUUUAAAAAUUGUUGUUAAAUUUUGAUCCAGUUAGGGGGGCCAGGCAAAGUGUAGUUUACCUUUUAAUACCUGAAUUUUUACCAGAGACACAAAACGAGGGAGAAAAAAAAAAAAAAAAAAAAGGGGAAACCCCGUAGGCGUGCAACAAAGUAGUAACCAAAAUUGGGAUUGAAAUAGCUUAAUGCUAUUUUACUUCACCCCAAAAAAAAUAAGGAACAAAAUCAAAAGUGGCUGAACUCUGCGAAUUUAGGGCGGGGUGCUGGUGUGGCUAUUUAUUAGUUUGUGUAAUCAACUAGCAGAAAAUGACAAGAUAUAAUCGUUUCCAAGAGCACUAGUCCACGAAAAGGCCCAAAUUCGGUAAUGGGCUUAUAAGUUUGAAGCAAGAGUUUAUGCGCGAUCCCAUCAGAAGUUGUCUAUGUAGUUAACAUGUUGUUUAUAUAGUUGUGCUUGUAUUGAUUGGCAAUAUGAGCUUUGGAUGGUCAUGUGUUUUUUUUUUUUUUUUUGGGUGGCUAUGUGAAUAAAUUACAAAGUUUUUUUUUUUUGUGAAGAACAUUUAAAAAAAAAGUUCAGACCAAAUCCAUAAAAUUUCAUUUACACAUGGUAGCAAGGUGAUAACAUGCAGAUACAAGUCAUCAAGGGAUGGACAUGGAUGGAAGGAUGCAGAGGAAGGUAAUUGUGCCCUCAACCGAACAUGGUGAAUAGAGUUGGAAUCCGACUAGAGACACCAAGCCCUUGCGGAGGAAGCUCCUCGUCUAAAAGCGAGCCGAUAGAAUUGCAAGGGAUUAGGCAGGGAUUCAACUCAGCGUACCACAAAAAAUGGGAUUAAAGGAUCGAUGUGAACUUAACCCUUCUCUUAAUAUUUACACAGUUACUCAGCUAUAUGUUACCAACAAGAAACCAAUUAGCACUAAAUCUGCUGGCGGUGGGCUGAAAUAGAGCAACAUGCCUCUCGUUCCCGUCCCUCGAUCGAUCGGCCUGAUCUCUUCCAGUGUCCCAGUGGCUGUCUAUUCAUUGUAUCCUCUCGGUGCUUAGCCCUACUUGAUGAUUGGACUAGGUUACCAGCCAACGCUGCGGCGCCAAGAACCGACUGUUAUAAAACAGAAAACCAUUUGGCUCUAACCUUUUGGCUUUUUCAAGGUCGACGGCGAGAGAACAUGCGCACUGGGGCCAAUUUGUUCGGCAAUGCAGCGCGGUUUCCGUAAGGAGAAUGGAGGCUGAUGAAGAGUUAAAAGGAACGCCGCGAUUUGUCGCUCUCAAGUUGUAUAUUCUACACACUUUCUACUUCCGAAUAUCCAACUCCAAUACUUUCCACCUAUGUAUCUAUAUUUGUUCGAUCCCUCUUGAGUUGAGUUUAGGAGAACAAGAAUCUGAAAUGGUUUUCAUCUUUAGAUUUGAGCCCAAAUUUUCCCACAAGAAUCAAAAAUCAAUGUUUGAGCUUCCAACACUAGGGUUCUUCUUUCUCCUCGAAUAUUUUCUAUUUUUUCUUCCAAUCUAGGGCUUUAUCUUCUACAAAUCUACGACUUUAUCUUCUACACUUUACGUUAGUAGUGGGACUUUCCACACUCCCACUGCUUGUCCUUAAGCAUUUUUUUUUUUUUUUUUGCAUAGACUCAUUCAUGACAGUAUAUUUAAGGGGGGAAAAAAACUAUGUUGCUCCUCCUAAUGGACAGUUCAAAAUUUUGAUGAAAACCCCAAGCUCAAACAUCAGAAGUUUUAUAGGUUUCAACUUUUUAUAUGCUACAAAAUCUGCAACAAGAUUCACAAAUGGCAGAAAAAAAAAAUCCCAUAGAACUUAGUAUUUUAAUAAUUUAUUCUACGCUUAGUCAAAACGACUUGCAAUGAUUAAUCCAAAGUUGCAAGAAAGGCUAUAGCAACUUGGCUGUCUGGUGCAUAGUUGUAACUGAUCA
Molecule: long non-coding RNA, 3124 nt
Filed under: Coffea arabica (coffee)
Lineage: Eukaryota; Viridiplantae; Streptophyta; Magnoliopsida; Gentianales; Rubiaceae
Description: long non-coding RNA (CARA_LNC002741)
Source: RNAcentral